RNAcentral lists this non-coding RNA (78 nucleotides) under Chloroflexota bacterium. Its description in RNAcentral is "Chloroflexi bacterium c-di-GMP sequence". It matches the Rfam family "c-di-GMP-I-GGC riboswitch aptamer". The record is from RNAcentral. Lineage: Bacteria; Bacillati; Chloroflexota.
AGCGAGAAAGGUAAACCCAUCGAAAGGUGGGGGCACAAAGCCACGGGUCCAAGCAAGAGGAUAGCCGAGCUGCCGAAU